UAUAGGGAAAAACAUAGUUUCUGUGGAGCAUAGUACUAUCCCAGGUGUCACGCAUCCGCUGGGGGUCUUGGACCGUAUUGCCCAAGGAUAAGAGGGGACCGCUGUAUGUACUUUGAACAGAGCAGUGACGGUCUGAAGAGGGUAGAGAUUUGAGAUAAGGAUGCACAUCUAUUUCUUUCUUGUGGACAACAUGUUUAUGGAUAUGAAAUCACACUCACCUCUUGCUUAGAAAGCAGCAGCGAUUUGCUCGAUGGAGUGGCACGUGUUUACUCUCACUGAUGCUGUUUGAGGUGAUCCGUUUUCCUGGUAACAGACAGAAUGUGUUCCUUUCUGCGAAUUCACAGAAGCUCCAACGCUGCAGUUCCUUGGGAGGAAACUCUGCUGUUAGGCACUAUAAUUUUUGAUUUUGCAGUUCACAUGAUGUCUCAGAAGAGGGAUAUGUCUUUUCUAACAACCGUCAUUUUUAUAUAAAAUGGAAGGUAUUCACAUUA
Macaca mulatta (Rhesus monkey) is the source of this 491-nucleotide non-coding RNA. NCBI's taxonomy places the organism in Eukaryota, Metazoa, Chordata, Mammalia, Primates, Cercopithecidae. The record is from RefSeq and is a predicted model, not a curated record.